This 209-nucleotide unclassified non-coding RNA is filed under the name Hevea brasiliensis (rubber tree). Lineage: Eukaryota; Viridiplantae; Streptophyta; Magnoliopsida; Malpighiales; Euphorbiaceae. The record is from RNAcentral.
AGAACUGUUUCUUGAGCUGAAGUGGCAACUUCCAACAUCCAAGUUGCAGGAUUGUAACCAUCUUUAAUGUUAGGUACACCUUCAAUUAUCUUCAUAUAAAGAAAACUACAUGAAUUAGUGAGAGUUAACAAGAGGAGAACUGCAAAAAUAUAUAUAUGCAUCAUUUAUUUUAUCUGAAAACAUCCAUUCUUCUUUCUUAACCUCAAAAU